Long non-coding RNA from Mustela erminea (ermine), 436 nucleotides. RefSeq lists it as uncharacterized. NCBI's taxonomy places the organism in Eukaryota, Metazoa, Chordata, Mammalia, Carnivora, Mustelidae. The transcript has 3 exons. The record is from RefSeq and is a predicted model, not a curated record.
UAUCCUCUAAUUUGUUGUGAACCAGCAUCAACUGCCAGAAAUGUGAGUGAACAUGUCUUCAGGUUAUUCCUGCCCCAGAUUUGGAGACUCCUCACUGAAGACCUGAACACUGUGGAGCCGCACACAGUCAUCUCUGCUAUGCUUUGUCUGAAUUUUUGAUGUACACAUCUCUGAAGAUAGUUGGUUGAUCAAAAAGCCUUCAAUGGAGUAGAUUAAUGGCCCAUUCUUGCUUGUCACAAGAAUACAGUUGUGUAAAUCAUCACAGCUCCAGAGGCCAGAAGUCUGAAGUCAAGGUGUCUGCAAGGCCAAUGCUUUCUCUGAAGGUAUGAGGAAUGGAGCUUCCCCUGCCUUUCUUCUUGUAGCCUAUGCUGUCCUGCAUUGAAGUAGAUUCAUCAUUCCAAUCGUUGGUCUUCGUGUGACAUUAUUCCUGUGUAUC